This 69-nucleotide transfer RNA is filed under the name Ictidomys tridecemlineatus (thirteen-lined ground squirrel). Its description in RNAcentral is "Spermophilus tridecemlineatus (thirteen-lined ground squirrel) tRNA". It matches the Rfam family "tRNA". From Rfam's summary of the family: Transfer RNA (tRNA) molecules are approximately 80 nucleotides in length. Their secondary structure includes four short double-helical elements and three loops (D, anti-codon, and T loops). Further hydrogen bonds mediate the characteristic L-shaped molecular structure. tRNAs have two regions of fundamental functional importance: the anti-codon, which is responsible for specific mRNA codon recognition, and the 3' end, to which the tRNAs corresponding amino acid is attached (by aminoacyl-tRNA synthetases). tRNAs cope with the degeneracy of the genetic code in two manners: having more than one tRNA (with a specific anti-codon) for a particular amino acid; and 'wobble' base-pairing, i.e. permitting non-standard base-pairing at the 3rd anti-codon position. The record is from Rfam by way of RNAcentral. Lineage: Eukaryota; Metazoa; Chordata; Mammalia; Rodentia; Sciuridae.
GGGGCUGUCGCUCAGUGUUGGAGCACUUGCCUCGAAUGCAUGAGGCACUGGAUUCGAUCCUCAGCACCA